GGGUCAAUGGCCGAGAGGUCUAAGGCGUCCCACUCAAGCUGGGAUCUCUUCGGAGGCGCAGGUUCGAACCCUGCUUGACUCA
Blastocladiella emersonii ATCC 22665 is the source of this 82-nucleotide non-coding RNA. Lineage: Eukaryota; Fungi; Blastocladiomycota; Blastocladiomycetes; Blastocladiales; Blastocladiaceae. The record is from the annotation of a GenBank genome assembly.